This 648-nucleotide ribosomal RNA is filed under the name uncultured bacterium. RNAcentral's name for it is "bacterial SSU rRNA". It matches the Rfam family "Bacterial small subunit ribosomal RNA", at positions 63 to 684 of the family's 1533-position model. The record is from RNAcentral.
CUUGAAGAUCGGAGUGCUUGCACUCUGUGAAACAAGAUACAGGCUAGCGGCGGACGGGUGAGUAACACGUGGGUAACCUGCCCAAGAGAUCGGGAUAACACCUGGAAACAGAUGCUAAUACCGGAUAACAACAGAUGAUGCCUAUCAACUGUUUAAAAGAUGGUUCUGCUAUCACUCUUGGAUGGACCUGCGGUGCAUUAGCUAGUUGGUAGGGUAACGGCCUACCAAGGCGAUGAUGCAUAGCCGAGUUGAGAGACUGAUCGGCCACAUUGGGACUGAGACACGGCCCAAACUCCUACGGGAGGCAGCAGUAGGGAAUCUUCCACAAUGGACGCAAGUCUGAUGGAGCAACGCCGCGUGAGUGAAGAAGGGUUUCGGCUCGUAAAGCUCUGUUGUUGGUGAAGAAGGACAGGGGUAGUAACUGACCUUUGUUUGACGGUAAUCAAUUAGAAAGUCACGGCUAACUACGUGCCAGCAGCCGCGGUAAUACGUAGGUGGCAAGCGUUGUCCGGAUUUAUUGGGCGUAAAGCGAGUGCAGGCGGCUCGAUAAGUCUGAUGUGAAAGCCUUCGGCUCAACCGGAGAAUUGCAUCAGAAACUGUCGAGCUUGAGUACAGAAGAGGAGAGUGNNNNNCCAUGUGUAGCGGUGA